CAAGUCGAACGAGACUUUUCGUUGUAGCAAUACGAUGGAAAGUUUAGUGGCGAACGGGUGCUUAACAUGUGGGCAACCUGCCGGGAAGUGGGGGAUAGCUCGCCGAAAGGCGAAUUAAUACCGCAUGUGAUUAGAGAGGACAUCCUUUCGAAAUUAAAGUCGGGGCAACCUGACGCUUUUUGUGGGGCCCGCGGCCUAUCAGCUAGUUGGUGAGGUAACGGCUCACCAAGGCUUUGACGGGUAGCUGGUCUGAGAGGACGACCAGCCACACUGGGACUGAGACACGGCCCAGACACCUACGGGUGGCAGCAGUCGAGAAUUUUUGACAAUGGGGGAAACCCUGAUCGAGCGACGCCGCGUGGAGGAUGAAGGUCUUCGGAUUGUAAACUCCUGUCAUUGGGGAACAAGGUGCAUACGUUAACUGCGUGUGCAUUGAUAGUACCCGAAGAGGAAGAGACGGCUAACUCUGUGCCAGCAGCCGCGGUAAUACAGAGGUCUCAAGCGUUGUUCGGAUUCAUUGGGCGUAAAGGGUGCGUANGCGGCGCGGUAAGUCGGGUGUGAAAUCUCGGAGCUUAACUCCGAAACUGCAUUCGAUACUGCCGUGCUUGAGGACUGGAGAGGAGACUGGAAUUUACGGUGUAGCGGUGAAAUGCGUAGAUAUCGUAAGGAAGACCAGUGGCGAAGGCGGGUCUCUGGACAGUUCCUGACGCUGAGGCACGAAGGUCAGGGGAGCAAACGGGAUUAGAUACCCCGGUAGUCCUGACAGUAAACGGUGCACGUUUGGUGUGGGAGGAUUCGACCCCUUCUGCGCCGGA
This 815-nucleotide ribosomal RNA is filed under the name uncultured Verrucomicrobiota bacterium. Its description in RNAcentral is "bacterial SSU rRNA". It matches the Rfam family "Bacterial small subunit ribosomal RNA", at positions 58 to 850 of the family's 1533-position model. The record is from RNAcentral. Lineage: Bacteria; Pseudomonadati; Verrucomicrobiota.